AUUGAACGCUGGCGGAAUGCUUUACACAUGCAAGUCGAACGGCAGCACGGGGGCAACCCUGGUGGCGAGUGGCGAACGGGUGAGUAAUACAUCGGAACGUGCCCAGUCGUGGGGGAUAACGUAGCGAAAGUUACGCUAAUACCGCAUACGAUCUACGGAUGAAAGCGGGGGACCGUAAGGCCUCGCGCGAUUGGAGCGGCCGAUGUCAGAUUAGGUAGUUGGUGAGGUAAAGGCUCACCAAGCCGACGAUCUGUAGCUGGUCUGAGAGGAGGACCAGCCACACUGGGACUUAAACACGGCCCAGACUCCUACGGGAUGCAGCAGUGGGGAAUUUUGGACAAUGGGCGCAAGCCUGAUCCAGCCAUGCCGCGUGCAGGACGAAGGCCUUCGGGUUGUAAACUGCUUUUGUACGGAACGAAAAGGCUCUGGUUAAUACCUGGGGCUCAUGACGGUACCGUAAGAAUAAGCACCGGCUAACUACGUGCCAGCCGCCGCCGUAA
Molecule: ribosomal RNA, 500 nt
Filed under: uncultured bacterium
Lineage: Bacteria
Description: partial 16S ribosomal RNA
Rfam family: Bacterial small subunit ribosomal RNA
Source: RNAcentral